Pseudomonas agarici is the source of this 147-nucleotide regulatory RNA element. It matches the Rfam family "radC RNA". The record is from Rfam. Lineage: Bacteria; Pseudomonadati; Pseudomonadota; Gammaproteobacteria; Pseudomonadales; Pseudomonadaceae.
AUUCUGUACACAUGUAUCGCUGACGUCGUCAGCAACAUGCCCAAGUAGUCUGGAUCCGCAAGACUACGAUGCGGUUUACCGCAUUGAUCCCUCCCAAGAUCGCCAUAGCUUCCGGUAGCGCGAUCAAUCGACUUAGUCGAUGGAAGC